AUUUGGACACUUACUAACGGAAUAGGAUAACUUUGUACAUUUAAUGAUAGCUAUACACAGCAGAAUAAGCACUUUGGAAACAUUUGGAUUUUGGCAAUUUAAAUUGAUAUGCUUAUUAUUCAUAUUUAUGAUAUAGAAUCAGAUGCUGUUUAUUAAAUAUUGCAAUUAUAGUGUGACGCUUAUUGUUAAACAGUCCUUCAGUUGACAGUCGAGCCAUUGAUUCUUAGACAAUUUAUUCUCAAACCUUUUCAUGUUAAGGAACCCCAGAUUGAUAUCUAACAAGCUGUGGACCCCCAUUUGAUGAGAUUUUUGUCCCAGGGACCCUUAUUGAGGAGGGACCCUCUUGAACCCCCUCAAGGACUCCUGGGUGUCUCCGGACCCCACUUUGAGAACCAAAGACUUAGACCAAUCUAAAUCACCUUUGAGGCCAGUCAGCUCAUUUUUGCUUGUUUAAUAUUCCAGAGGGAGGUUCAACAUUUGACUUGUGGUUCCAACAAAUCCCUCCUAGAGGUGUAAUCCACAUCAGUGAAGGAGGAGGCCAUGUAAGGGGGCAGAAUGCUGUGCACAGGUAAGGUGUUAUAAAGUAUGACCCAAGCUGUCCAAGCAUAUUGGAGCAGUGAGCUAAACUUAAUUUUGUUGGCAGAUGAAAGUGCUCAGAGAGAAAAUAUGAAUGUGUUGUUAGUCUUACCUCAUGAAUACUUUCAUGCGAAACACAGUAAUGAUUGUACAACGUGCAGUGCAUUAAAAAGAUCCAAUUUUAGCUCACUCUCUCCAUACAUUAUAAUUAUGCUUCUCACUUUAAGAAGUGGAUUUUCCCCUUCCCUUUCGUUUUUUACUUUUAGACCCUUCCCUUUUGGCAUUAUAUACAACAGAAGGGUAUUGUUGACUGGAGUAGAGUCAUAUCAUUUAAAUGAAUCAUUCUUUCUCUUGAUAAAAUCUAUAGGAAAAAUACAGUGUGCACAACUCAAGAGUCCAAGCACAUGGUUCCAUUGUUGGCCAAGUAUCUGAACCUGAUCAGAUGAGGAUAUGACAAGUUUCCAGCUUUUUAGUAUUGUGUCAGUACCUCUAUUUUUGGAUGAUAUAAUCAGACAUUUACACAACCUGAUUAAUUUCACUGUAUGCAAUCUCCACUCAGUUCGGCUCUUACACCUGCACCAUCCAGGGCACCGAAGUACACCCCCAUUCAUUAAUAUGGGGGGUGUGGUUCAGUAGACAAUAAUUCCUACAUGAAACUGCUCACAACAAGGCCUGUAGCUUAUCUUGAAUGACUAGGUCAUGAUUUUUGUAAAGAGAUAAUGCUUUUGACGUUUUCAAAUGUAUUUCUUUGAGCGCCACAAGUGCCAUUCAGCUCCAUUGUAUUGGAGUGACCGCAGAUAUCUCUACGACAGAUAUCUCUACGACAGAUAUCUCCAAAACUAAGCAAAUCACACCGAAAUGAUCUGGAUGGAUAGAUAGCACUCUGGGUAAGGAGAAAAAUAUACUCUUUUGACUUUUGGGUGAACUGCCCCUUUAAGGUGAAAUGAAAAGGCCUGCACGAUGGAUCAAGUAAAGGACUAUGGUUUACGCUCAAAUGAUUGGUAAAGUGUUAUUAUAAAGCAUACUUCUCCUAUAUUUUACUUGCCAUGAAUAAUAAAAUAAAGCAAAGGCAAAACAAA
Molecule: long non-coding RNA, 1655 nt
Organism: Thunnus maccoyii (southern bluefin tuna)
Lineage: Eukaryota; Metazoa; Chordata; Actinopteri; Scombriformes; Scombridae
Exons: 3
Source: RefSeq, a predicted model, not a curated record